This 6937-nucleotide long non-coding RNA is filed under the name Malus domestica (apple). RNAcentral's name for it is "long non-coding RNA (MDOM_LNC020280)". Lineage: Eukaryota; Viridiplantae; Streptophyta; Magnoliopsida; Rosales; Rosaceae. The record is from RNAcentral.
AAUUAUGGUGGUGGAUGGAUAUAGGUGAGUUAUGGUGAAGGGUGGAUGGGUGGAUUGUGUUCUCCCGGCCAAGGAAUGAAAGUGUAAGUGUAUGGAGUUGUGAGAUGUGAAUGUAGUGUCUUUUGAUGGAUCUUUUUCCCCCCUUUUUGUUAUGGUGAAGGGUGGAUGUAUUUAUAGGCUAGGGAGAGGACCACCAUCUAAUUAAGGUGGUAGUGGUGUAUGUUGUGGUAAUAAGUGGAUGUAAUGGGUGUAGUGGAUGAGUAUUUGGUAAUGAGUGGAUGUAAUGGGUGUAGUGGAUGGAUGUUUGGUAAUGAGUGGGUUGUGGUAAUGAGUGGAUGUAAUGGGUGUAGUGGAUGAGUGUUUGGUAAUGAGUGGAUGUAAUGGGUGUAGUGGGUGGAUGUUUGGUAAUGAGUGAGUUGUGGUAAUGAGUGGAUGUAAUGGGUGUAGUGGAUGAGUGUUUGGUAGUUGUAGGUCAACACACUUGCACACACACAUGCUGAUUUCUAGCCUUCUAAUCUUGGCCCAAAAAUGCUUCAAAGUUCUCCAAAUAGCACUUUGUUGCCAACUUUGUUAUUUGAACCUAUAAACACACGAAAAUAGCUUAAAAUACAUAAUUAACUAAGAAAUAACAACACAAAUGCACAAGAACAAGCUAACUAAGUCGCAUAAAUAUGCUCCUAUCAAAUUCCCCCACACUUAGCUUUUGCUAGUCCUCGAGCAAAACAAAAGAAACAAAACGAAACAAAACAAACAAAACACAACCUAACCUUCCAACAUUUGCCUCAGGGAUUUUCCAUGAAACAUGACAUGCCAAAGAUCACAACUUACAUAGAUUUAAGCAAUCCUUACCCUUGAGCAUACUUAAUCAUCGUCACCAUUCACUAGCUCACAUUUAAUUAAUUAAAACAACAUUUUGAAUGUAGUAACAUGCCUUAGAGAAUUCCCUCAAUUCCUUACUAGAUACUCUCUAUUUUCACACACAUUUUCUGACUACACACCCUACACUAGUUAUAUGUGAGAAGAUUGAUGUAAACAUGGAAGACUAGUACUCACAUAUGUUAUAACAAAGAAAGCAAUUUCUAGAGUUAAUAAGCAUGUUUAGAUAUGAUCUCAUGAAUAGUAUGCUACUACUUAGAUGCGAGAACCAGUGACACCAUAUGCUCAUACCAAUUUCGAACUCCAAAAAUUGAAACACACAACACUCACGAUUGAAGUCAAGGGUUGUAACAGGGCUUGGGGGUAAUGGCUAACAAAGAAAUGAUAGGAAUAACAAAAGUUCGUAAAGCAAUAGCAAGCAAAGCAAUGAAAUAGACACUUGGAAUUCACUUUAGAAUGCAGAAUCAACUUUUACAUAUAAAGGGAAGAUUCAUGCAACACUUAGGGCCGAAUUCAAUGUUUUUGGACCCUUUCUUCAACAAACGAGAUUUUAAAGCUCUUUUUCACAACUUUUCUUCUUUUCAUUCUAUUUUUCACGAAUUUUUCUUUUUCUUUUUCUUUCCUACCCGUUCCUUAUUAAGGACUUUGGCACACACACACAACAAGAAUCACUUCCCCCACACUUGUUUUCUGCAAUACAUUAAUAAAAAGGAAUUCAUUUUGAGUCAUACUUUACUAUGCUUCAAGAACAAGGGUAUGGAUGGUUCUAAUCUAGGCUAGGUGAGGAUAGUGUGGGUUAACAAAGAACAUAGGCUACACAAGGCUCAAUGGGGUUAAACUUAAACAUAUAAUGAAGUAGGAUACACGGCAGUUUGGCUUUGGUGGUGGUCACUACACAACUUCAUCUUGAAUAUGUGUUAUGCAAAUCAAUAGCAUGCUUUGAAUGAAAUGGGCAUGAGUUCUAGCAUUUGGAACUAAAUGAUGAAACGCCUUAUAAGUAGUAACCAAGCAAAGAAUAAUGAGAUCAUGCAACGACUUUAGAAAACAAGAAUGCACAUAUUAUUAUCUCUCCAAAUAAACGUUUUAGGCUCAAGUCUCACAAGGUUGUAGCGUUAAUUUGAGUUCCUUCCUUCAAGCAUGUUACAAAACUGAUUUUUCUUUUAUGAUUGCAUGUGAAUUCAUAAAUUUAAACCAUAACCAAGCAUACACCAAAGAGUAAAUCAAAUUUUCAUCCAUGUUUAUAACUCUCUUUAACAGUCAUGUAAUUAAAAACCAAGUGCUGGCUGAUUGCUCUCUUUCUUCUUGUCCCAAAACAACGACAAGGAGAAGGACAGGGAGAAAACAUGAUAUGAGAUACUCUUGCUUUCAACCUUCAUGAUAUGAAAUACUUUUGCUUUGGAUGAGUUGUUUGCAGAGGUACCCCAAGGAAUAAGGAACACUGAGUGACUCGAGAGGGUUUGUUGGAAAGGCAUUCUCGGAGAAGAAUAAGGGUUAUGUAUGUCUGCCUUGCAAUGGAGGGUGAAGGGUGACAUUUAUAGGAAUUAAUAACCGGUACUAUUCUUUCACCCUUGUCAGCAACUGUUGGAUGAUUUAAUAGUAAACUUCACGUGUUUUCUACUUCACAAGAGAUCUUUGACAGAUUGCCCGUAAUAUCCACAAGGCUAAGUGUGCAUGUGACAGGCGCUGACACGUCUCGAAAAGCAAGUGCCUCUUCGAUAUCUGGAAUCGGCGCUUUGACAAACUACCCGUGAUUUUCGCCAAGUUGACUCUGCAUGUGACAGAUGCUGACACGUCUGGAAAAGCAGAUGCUUCUCCGAUUUCUGAGCUUGCCUCUUCGAAUUCUGACCUCGCCUCUUCGAUCUCUGAAAUCCCAUCGAGUGCAGAGGUUGCAUGUGACAAGUGCGGACAAAACUGGAAAAGAAGAUUGGCCUGUGGUUUCUGAGCAAGCCCAGCUUUUGAGAAAGCUAGCGCCUCUUCGAUUUUUGAGUUGGCCUCUUCGAUUUCUGAGCUCGUCUCUUCGAUCUCUGAAAUCUCGUCGAGUGCUGAUUUUUAUAGAGGUACGUAGGACGUUCAAAGAACAUUUGAAUUUCUGCCUGUAGAAACUCCCUUCUUGCACUUCUACGACCUUGACUUGUCCGACCUCUUCUUUCUUUAACACCUCUGAAAAUGUCUGGCCCCUCCGACCGUCGUUUUGACUUGAACCUUGGUGAAGAGGUAGUCCCACCUUCUCCAGACAACAUAUGGCGCCCAUCCUUCAUAUCCCCUACUGGUCCUCUUACCGUUGGGGAUUCGGUGAUGAGGAAUGACAUGACCGCUGCGGUGAUGGCCCGGAACCUUGUCACUCCCAAAGAUAACAGACUACUUUCCAAACGGUCUGAUGAGUUGGCUGUUAAGGAUUCUUUGGCUCUCAGUGUGCAGUGUGCAGGUUCUGUGUCUAAUAUGGCCCAACGCCUAUUUGCUCGAACCCGUCAAGUUGAAUCAUUGGCGGCUGAAGUGAUGAGUCUCAAGCAGGAGAUUAGAGGGCUCAAGCAUGAGAAUAAAUAGUUGCACAGGCUUGCACAUAACUAUGCUACAAACAUGAAGAGGAAGAUUGACCAGAUGCAAGAAUCUGAUGGUCAGAUUUUACUUGAUUAUCAGAGGUUUGUGGGUUUGUUCCAACAACAUUUGCCUUCGUCUUCUAGGGCUGUACCACAUAUUGAAGCUCCAAAUGAUCAACCUCCGUUGCCUCCUCCUUCUGGGGCUCCGCCGACUACUGAGACUUCUCCUAAGCAGCCUUUGUGAAGGCUCCCUCUGUAAUUUUCUGCUUAAUGUUCCUUUUUUUUCAUGAAAAUGAAUGUAAGAAUACCUUGCAUAUUUGUCAAUGUUUCAAAAAUAAACCCACACCCAAAAAUAAUUAAAUAAACAACAAAAAUAAAAAAUGACAAUCAUGGCAAAAUAGAAAUGCAGAAAAAUGAAGGUUUUUAGAAACGCAAAACUGAUUGUGGAGCGAUUCAAAAAACUUCCUUAUUUGAAUACAUGGGUUGCCUCCCAAGAAGCCCUGGCUUUAACGUCCUUCAGCCGGAUGAAACUUCCUUCUAAACUUGGAUAGGGCCCAUAGCAUGGAACUGAUCCUUGAAUGGAAGGUGAUACUUGACAUGAUUCGACAAUGGUUUAAAUUAUAAUGUAGGUGCCUGAAUCAUUAAAAUCAGCAAGUUAGUAUAAACUAAAAUCGAAGUUGGAAAAGAUGGCUUACUUUUUUGCUCCAACACAAACUCAAUUACAAACGCCACAUCUUUGAAGGUUGUAGGGAUAUGGGACUUGGCCAGAUUUGGUGUUUUGAGAGUUAUGAUUUGUCCCGUGUCAUAAAAUCCAACUUCUUUGAGAAUUUCGUCUCAAGUGUAUCUUCUUUAAUGAAUUUUAGACAUUCCCCAUCCACUUCUUACUCUUGAUUCUUUGGAAAGGUUUAAGGUUUCGAAUAUGCCUUUCUCAUCUUCUUCUUCCUUAGAUUGCUUGAUCCUGUAAGGAAUAAGGACAUUUGGUGAAACGGGGUCAGAACAAUUUGAAUUUAGGCUUACCUUGGUUGUAGUGGACGGCAUAAAGGGCAUAUAGGGCUGCGGCAAGGGUGGUUCUUCCCUUGUCGUCGCCUUGUUAUUCUCCUCAUCUUCGAGCAGCAAUUGUUCAUCCAUGUUUUGGCUUGGUUUGGAUGUCUUGGGUUCACCUCCAACCUCCAUAGCACUUCCCAAAGUGAUAGCAUCAUGGAUUUCAAAAUCUUCCUUCAAAUUUUCAAUAGUUGAGUUGGAAAGUUCACUUUGCUCUUGAAUUUGUGCCAUGAACUCCAUAAUCUGCCCAAUUUGCUUCUCCAAUUCUCUCGUCUUCUUAGCUUGAUUUUGCAUCUCUUUGUUUCCAUUUUCUACUUCCUGGUUCAAAGAGGUGAGUAACUUAUUAAACAUAUUAUUAUCCAAAAAUGUACCUGAAUUGAAUUGGGCAGAUUGUUGUGGUGGCUACAUAGGUCUUAAAUAGAAUUCCUCUUCUUGCUGCCAAUACCCAUCUUGUUGGAAUUGUUGAGGUUCUCCCCACAUGUAAUCUGAAUAAUCUCUCCAAUCCGAAUUGUAAGCGUUGGAAAACAUGUUGUCUCAUGAUUGGCUAUGGCCUUGAUAACCCCAAGCAUCUUCAUUCGUAGCGAAUUGAGAACAUUAAUGAGUUGGAUAUCCUUGUCCAUAGGACAUACCUUCUGUAGAGACACUUUGCAUUGUGGUCCUUUCGGCAUAUUGUGACAAUGGAGAAGUAAGUUUCGCCAAUUGAGCUUGAAUGGUAGCAAAAUCCAUGUCUUACUUCUCUAGUACCUGAAAUCAAGGAAACAAAACUAAAUCAAAUAUCAUAAGUAAAAAUAAAAGACACAAAUAUAAACAAAGUCAGUAACUAAAAACAAAAGACACGAAAAUAAACAAAAAGAAAUAACAAGGGAUUAGCAAAAUUGCUCAUCCCCGCCAACUGCGCCAAAAAUUUGAUGCGAAUUUUAACUUAACACACAAAUUAAACCCUUUUGUUGUCAAAUUGUAGUAUAAAUGCAAGUAGGGAUCGUUCUAAACCAGGGAUUAUGAAGGCUUGCUAAAACCUCUAAAUUGACUUAAAAACAUAUAAACAAAGUUAAAAACACUAAACUAGACUCAAAGAACUUAAAACAAACUCAAAGGACUCAAAACAAGCUAAAAACGCUCAAAUCUGCCUAAAAACACAAACUGGGUAGAUUUGGACUCUAACACACUUUUGGGACACCUAAAAACACAAAUCAAAACAGAUUUUGACUAAUAAAACACUUUAAAGUAAAGGGGGUUUUGGUUUUGACGAAUUUGAAAACAAAACAAGUAAAUUAAAGAACUAAUGAAAUCUGCACGAAUUUAAGUAAAUUGAAUGGAUGGAAGGCUAGCUAGGAGGUUCUUCUCCACACAUGACAUACUUGCACAUAAACCAAUUUUCAGUUGUUCUUUCGAUCAAUCAUGAAACUCAACACCCCAGGUUAAUUAAGUCCGCUUGAAUUAACCUUCAAGUUCUCCUUAAGUUAUUGAAUUGGAUGGGAAAGCAUAUACAACAAUUCAAGCAUUCUUCAAAAGUUCUUUACGUGAACAGCAUAAUAAAGAUACAAUCAAAGAUCAUUAAACAUUAUGAAAACUAUAAGUAUUGACGAGGCAUUCGUUACUAUGAUGAGCAUGAAACUCCUGCCAAGAAUUUAUUUAACGCGAUCGUUUAUAAGCGACCUUCACUACUUGUGAAUAUAAGUUUGUAACUAUUAGGUGAAACUCCCUUAUACUCUAGCAUCAUAUUCAUGCAUGCAAACUAAGUGUGCACUCUUAAUAAACAUACACGAAUAAGUUAUCAAUCAAGCAGUUAAACAAAUUGAAUUUACAACUUAUGAAAUCACAACUAAAGGUAAUCAAAUCAUAUUGCAAGCAUGAACAUGGUUUCGAAUUCCCCCCUAGCUAAAAGGGGUUUAGUUCCUCAUACUCACAAAGCAAAGAUAAACAAAUUUAUACAUCGAAAACAAAAGAAUGAAAACACCUAAAAACGCUCAAACAAUCCAACUGGAAUGGGAAACACGUCCAAGGGUCCUCCUUCUUCUCUUUGUUGCGGCACAAAGUGUGGUUUGAUGGAUGAGUGGUAAAUUAUGGUGGUGGAUGGAUAUAAGUGAGUUAUGGUGAAGGGUGGAUGGGUGGAUUGUGUUCUCCCGGCCAAGGAAUGAAAGUGUAAGUGUAUGGAGUUGUGAGAUGUGAAUGUAGUGUCUUUUGAUGGAUCUUUUUCCCCCUUUUUUGUUAUGGUGAAGGGUGGAUGUAUUUAUAGGCUAGGGAGAGGACCACCAUCUAAUUAAGGUGGUAGUGGUGUAUGUUGUGGUAAUGAGUGGAUGUAAUGGGUGUAGUGGAUGAGUGUUUGGUAAUGAGUGGAUGUAAUGGGUGUAGUGGAUGGAUGUUUGGUAAUGAGUGGGUUUUGGUAAUGAGUGGAUGUAAUGGGUGUAGUCGAUGAGUGUUUGGUAAUGAGUGGAUGUAAUGGGUGUAGUGGAUGAGUGUUUGGUAAUGAGUGGAUGUAAUGG